CUCGCCCUUAGAGUUUGAUCCUGGCUCAGGACGAACGCUGGCGGCGUGCCUAACACAUGCAAGUCGAACGGAACUGUUUUGAAAGAUUUCUUCGGAAUGAAUUUGAUUUAGUUUAGUGGCGGACGGGUGAGUAACGCGUGAGUAACCUGCCUUCAAGAGGGGGAUAACAUUCUGAAAAGAAUGCUAAUACCGCAUGACAUAUCGGAAUCACAUGAUUUUGAUAUCAAAGAUUUUAUCGCUUGAAGAUGGACUCGCGUCCGAUUAGUUAGUUGGUGAGGUAACGGCUCACCAAGACCGCGAUCGGUAGCCGGACUGAGAGGUUGAACGGCCACAUUGGGACUGAGACACGGCCCAGACUCCUACGGGAGGCAGCAGUGGGGGAUAUUGCGCAAUGGGGGCAACCCUGACGCGGCAACGCCGCGUGAAGGAUGAAGGUUUUCGGAUUGUAAACUUCUUUUAUUAAGGACGAAAAAUGACGGUACUUAAUGAAUAAGCUCCGGCCAACUACGUGCCAGCAGCCGCGGUAAUACGUAGGGAGCAAGCGUUGUCCGGAUUUACUGGGUGUAAAGGGUGCGUAGGCGGCUUUGCAAGUCAGACGUGAAAUCUAUGGGCUCAACCCAUAAACUGCAUUUGAAACUGUAGAGCUUGAGUGAAGUAGAGGCAGGCGGAAUUCCCCGUGUAGCGGUGAAAUGCGUAGAGAUGGGGAGGAACACCAGUGGCGAAGGCGGCCUGCUGGGCUUUAACUGACGCUGAGGCACGAAAGCGUGGGUAGCAAACAGGAUUAGAUACCCUGGUAGUCCACGCUGUAAACGAUGAUUACUAGGUGUGGGGGGUCUGACCCCUUCCGUGCCGGAGUUAACACAAUAAGUAAUCCACCUGGGGAGUACGGCCGCAAGGUUGAAACUCAAAG
Molecule: ribosomal RNA, 910 nt
Filed under: uncultured bacterium
Lineage: Bacteria
Description: bacterial SSU rRNA
Rfam family: Bacterial small subunit ribosomal RNA
Source: RNAcentral